UACAGAGGGGGCAAGCGUUGUUCGGAAUUACUGGGCGUAAAGGGCGCGUAGGCGGCCUUCUAAGUCGAACGUGAAAUCCCCGGGCUCAACCCGGGAACUGCGUCCGAUACUGGAAGGCUUGAAUCCGGGAGAGGGAUGUGGAAUUCCAGGUGUAGCGGUGAAAUGCGUAGAUAUCUGGAGGAACACCGGUGGCGAAGGCGACAUCCUGGACCGGCAUUGACGCUGAGGCGCGAAAGCUAGGGGAGCAAACGGG
Molecule: ribosomal RNA, 253 nt
Filed under: uncultured bacterium
Lineage: Bacteria
Description: partial 16S ribosomal RNA
Rfam family: Bacterial small subunit ribosomal RNA
Source: RNAcentral